AUCUUAUUCAUGGGUAUUAUGAUUAUUUUAUUGUGCAUAAGAAGAU
RNAcentral lists this small RNA (46 nucleotides) under Salix viminalis (osier). The record is from RNAcentral. Lineage: Eukaryota; Viridiplantae; Streptophyta; Magnoliopsida; Malpighiales; Salicaceae.